Molecule: transfer RNA, 76 nt
Filed under: Candidatus Rifleibacteriota bacterium
Lineage: Bacteria; Candidatus Rifleibacteriota
Description: tRNA-Phe
Rfam family: tRNA
About the family: Transfer RNA (tRNA) molecules are approximately 80 nucleotides in length. Their secondary structure includes four short double-helical elements and three loops (D, anti-codon, and T loops).
Source: RNAcentral
GGUCUGGUAGCUCAGGCAGUAGAGCAGAAGACUGAAAAUCUUCGUGUCGGGAGUGCAAAUCUCUCCUAGACCACCA